UUUUAUUUUUAAGUUUCGGUUUUCUUAGAUCCGGUUUAUUUAUUUAGGUUAAAUUAGUUAGAGAUCGUUCGUUCGUUUAGAUCUUUCAGUGAAUGCAUUCAUUAGGUUAGAUCUGUUUAGCGAGCGUUCGUUAGAUAGAUUUUACUUUCCUGUUUAUUUUUCUGCCAGGGACCUAGUUGUAGUUGUUUUAUUUUAUAGUUUAGCCCCUGAUCUUUAAACGGCCACAACUCUUUGCUCGCUUACUCAAAUCCAACGAAACCAACGCCCACUUCUUCGUUAUGAUCUCCUCUUUCUAGUUAAUCAACUUGAACAUGUUUUUGAAAGUUUAAAAUAUGAUUUCAAACAGAUUUGAAUUCAAACUUCUUUUGUUCAUAACUUGAGUUUUACAACUCCGAUUUAGUUGAUUCUUUUUGCAAAUCGAAGCUCUUGACCUAAACUUUCUGAUAAGGCAAAAUUCACAUAAUUUUGGUACUGUUAGAAAUUGUUUUAUGUUGCAAGAGUUAUUUGCAUGGUUUUGAUGUUUUCCGAACUAUCUUCUUCGUUCUUCCGAUCUUUUGAGUGAUUGCUUAUGUGUGGUUACUAUUGCUUGCUUACGAUAGAUUGACCGGAGUGUGAUGAGUAGAACUAUCAGGAGUUAUGAGUGCAAAUCAUCUUCAUGAACAGUACGAGGCAAGUUCACACUUUGAUCAUACGCUUCAUACCCAGUUUUAUGCAUUAGUUUCAACCCUCAAACAUUGCAUGAGUAGGAUUGAUAACAUGUGGGUAUUGGGAAGUAGUAGAUGAGGUAGAACCUAUUGCCCUUUAUAUCAAACCUUGGGAGUUACUUCUACGUUAUGCUCAUACUGCUCUGCUAAGCUCGUAGGCGUGGAUUAGUUGAGUGAUUCAUGACAGAUGUGAGAGUUAUUAUUAAUGGUUAACUUAAGGUGGCUACUUUAAUACACAUCCGGGUGGAAUGGUAGGAGCACCCUGGAGCACCCAGUGGUUUGCCCGGGCACCUGGAGAACCCAGUGCUUGCCCAAGGGGAUCCCGGAGGACCCGUGUGAUCACCCUAUGGAAUGCCACCCAGGCUCAAAGGGAUCAUAAGAUUAUUCAUGCUAGAAACUUCCGUGUGCAGCCACAAGCUAUUAUGGGCUCUAGCAUAGUUGAGUAGGUUGCAUGACCUCCAGUGGUAGGCUAGCAGAUGUAGGGGAUAUAGGUUGGUACUGUCUACCCAGGGUUAGAGUUAAUGCUUCUGAAAGACUGUGUCUCGGUCAUCCGUUUCUCAAACACCAUGUAGUGCGAGAAAUCCAACGGAGGAGAUCGGAUCUUGUGGGGAAAAGUGCACAAACCUCUACAGAGUGUACAAACUAAUCAUGAUUAGCCGUGUCCCCGGUUAUGGACAUCUUGAAUAUCUGGUUCUUGGAUUAUCAUGUUGAACUCAUCACUUUACUUAAUUAGUGUGUUGGGUUGAUAAUUACUAUUUUGGGAUUGAGUUGGAGGAACCUUCUCAAUGUUUUCAACAACUUUGUAGUUAAAUAAAAUAUAUUCCUUUGUAGUAGGGAAAAAUUGGCUUUUCGCAAAAACAUUAAACCAUAGAGCUCUUCCACCAGCCCAAUAUGCAUGUAGUGAUAGCUAUUAUUCAUCAUGAUCCUAUGGUGUGAAUUUGCCAAUACAUUCAAUGUACUGACCCUUUGUGGCUGCAACGUCUCAUGUUGCAGGAAUCUUACGACGAGUAAGUGAUACGUUAGGGUUACGAUUUCUACACUCAACUUUGUCAUUGGUGUUGAUGGGAAUCCACAACCUUGUUGUUACUUCCGCUAUUUGGAUUGAGGUAAUAGUAUUUACGUUACUUUAUCCAUGUGAUUUACCUCUGUUAUAAAUCCUCGAGUACUGUGUGUGUCAGCAUACUGAUCCAGGGAUGACACUUAAGCACAGAGACUUGACCGUCUGAGGUUGGGUCGCUACAUCACAUCUCGGCGACAUCGACGCGAUGGAGGCCGAUAUGGACGACAUCAUCACGGCCAGAUCGACCGCCGCCGCCUCCCCAUGGUUCACUGCCCAAGACGACACAAUGGACCUCAACGACGUCAUGGACGACGAGCUCGACUACGGCGAGGAGGAGCCAGAGGAGGAGGAGGAGCUGGUGCCUGCUCCGGCGAGGAAACAGAAGAAGAAGAAGAAGAAGAAGGGGGCGGCCAGAACCGGCGGGCCGCGCAUCAAGUGGGCGUCCAAGGAGCAGGAGUGUCUCGCCGAAGCAUGGAAAGUCGUCUGCCUCGACCCGAUCACCGGCACGAACCAGAGCAUCGACACAUAUUGAGAGCGCAUCAAGGCCGAGUUCGACGAGCGUAAGCUCGUUGACCCCCUACUUCAAAGGCGUCUACAUGCAGUGCGGGUCGAAGGCAAUGGCGAACCAUUGGGGGCUCAUCCAAACGGCGUGCAAAAAAUGGCAUGGGAUCAUCGAGGAGAUCGCGGCUCGCCCGGAGAGCGGCGCCAGCAUGGAAGAUCAGGUAUGGCACGCCGGUCUCGCACUUUUUUUGCCGUAUGCGCGCCCGCCAACUGUUUGUUCCUCGGCGCAGCUGCUGCGGAUGUUCGCCAUGUAUCGCCAGGAUAGCAGCGACCAAGAUUUCAAGUACCUCCAUGUCUUCAAGCGUAUCGACAAGUGCGAGAAGUGGGCGGAUACCCGGCGCACCCUCGCCAAGGCCAAGGAGACCUACAAGCCAGACGCGCCGACGCCGGGUGCGGGCGACGGGCGCCCGAAAGGCAACAAAGGGGCCAAGAAGGGGAAACACGCCGACUCGGCUACCACACGAGUGCAAGAGUCCAUUGAGCAUUGCCUCGCCGACGCACAGACCCGGGCCGCCCUGCGUGAAGAGAAGACCGAGGCACAGUGGUCGGCGUUGAUGACGAACAACACCGUCAAGCUCGACCUACUCCGGACCAACGUCGCCGCGAAGAAGAGGAACAUCGACCUGGCUUUCCUGAUGGGCGGGGCGGACAUGCUCCAAAGCAACGACGAGCAGCUCAAGGCGUGGUACCUGGUGGAGCGUGGCCUCAACCUAAACUAGCUGCCGUCGACGGCGCCGCCAACACCCACGCCCACGCCGACGCCGCCGCCAAGCCCGAGCGCCUCCACGACGCCUAGCAGCACAGAAGCCGCGCCGACGCCGCCCAGCACAGAAGCCGCUCCGACGCUGCCAAGCCCGCGCACGCCCACUCCGCCGACUCCGGAGGCCGACCUCGUCGUCUGAUGCGUUGCCCACGCGUUCUUUCUUUUUGUACGCCGAACUUUUCAUUUGAUCGUCGAACUGUGGCAAGGUGAUUGCCGAACUAGGCCGCUGAUCGCCGGACUUGUGACGUUUUUUGGCAGCGGGAAUGACCAAGUUUGAAUUUGGCGCACCUUGGGGGCGGCACCUGGGGGCGUGGCUGGGACCUAGAUCGCCCCCAGGGCCUAAAAAGCGUCGGGCGAGCGCCCGAAAGAGCGCCGGCCUAUGUGCUGGGCGGCCGAACGAGUGAAGAUGCUCUUAGAAGCAAUGAAAGCUAGACACCAUAUGAAAGAUGCAACGAAUAUCACUCUACCAAAUUAAAACUGUCUCAUCAUAAGUGCCCUUUCAACAAAUUAGAAGUAGUACAAGUUAGAAAAGAAUGUGAGAUGUAACCUAUAUCACACUGCCAAGUCAAACAUGUCUUAUGAUAAGUGAUUGUUGCAGGUUACACAACAGUAGUACUUUGAUGUAAGAACAUGGUGUGAUAGAUAGAUAUUGUAUGUUCUAGAAACAGGAACACGUGUCUUAUUCACAAGUAUAAUGUGUAAAGUAAGUACAUGAAAUUCAAAAAAAUUAGAAGCAAUACUGGUGCGCGUCGGUCCUAAACAAACGGUUUUAACCCCUUUUCGCGACGGCAUUUGGAACCGUCGCCAAGUGAGUGUGUGCGAUAGGGUGUCCUUCCCACACGACCCAGAAAUCGUCGGGGAUAGGCCCUCCUGGGACCCAGGCUGGGGCCGUGUGUGAUCGGGCGAGGCAUCGAAACCCAAUCAUUUCCGUAGGUAUGUACAUCCCACACGGUAAUCCGAGAAAAUCAUUUCUGUAGGUAUGUACAUCCCACACGGUGGAUCCCAGAAGAACAUUUCCGUUCGUAUGUAUAUCACACAUAGUCAAUCCAAGGAAUACGUUUCCGUUAUUAUGUACAUCCCACACAAUCAAUCCAGGGACAACGUUUCCGUUCGUACGUACAUCCCACACGGUUUUAUGUGUAGGCUCGUGUGUGAAAGGUGUAACUAUCACACAUAGUCUGCCUUGGUUAACUGUUUGCUUUUAUCAACUAUAUCACACACGAUUUGAUGAACAAAACUGUGUGGCAUUGGGCUAUCCAUCGCAAGCGCUUUUACUGCUAGAACCGUUUGCAAAGGUCCAUGACACAUUUAGCAGGUUUAUUAGUUUACAAUUAAUAAUUCCAGUAUUACGCAAAUUCACAUUUCAUAUCGAACAGGUGUUUGCCAAUUUCAUAUCAGGCACAUAGAUAUAUUAUAACAUCACAGUACGGUUGCUACAUGAAAACAUCACAGUACAACAUAUAGCUAGUUCAACUUCAUAAGAACAAUAUAUUCAUUUCCCUAAUCGAGAUCAUCCAGGCUCGUCUUAUCCACCUUUGCUUUCAGUUCAGUAAGAACCCGUUUUGCACGGGCCAACUGGGAAAGUGCCUCCUCCUUCGCCAACACCAUCUUAGCAUAGUCUGAAUUAAAAAAUCUGAGCUCAUUCUCCACCUUCAACUUUUUAUCCCGCAUCUUGAAAUAUGCUUCAGCGUUGACAAGACUUUCUCUAAGCCUACGCGUGUUCUCUUCCUCAUACAUGCUCCAGAGCUUCGCUAGGCACAUCUUCAAAGACUGUGGCCACUCUUGAUCAACCCGCUCCAAGUAAGAACACUUCCAUUUAUCCUAUAAUAUUUAAAACUAGAUCAGUAACAAUUGUAGGGGAAAUGGGUUCAUAGAAACAUAGAAAAUCACCAAUGCUUAUUUUGAAAAACUGAAGAAACAUGUUAAUUAUGACAUAUCUUCUUAGAAAGAUCAAUGUGCAAAUGAAAUAAUUGGUACUGAGACAACAACCAAAUUCUGGAACAUCAGAAGCUAUAAUUAACUACAACGACGCUACAAGUUCUUACUCAUGUACAAUAAAUAAAAAAUUGAACAUUUUAUGAGGAAAGUAAAUAUAACCGCAACAGCAUAGCGGCAGUGUUUGGAUGACAACAAAUUGAUACUAACAGGUGUGUACAUGCACAAAUUUAGUAACAUAGAACUAAUAGCACUAAUUAAGGCCGUCCACUAUGUAUGCCAAAACUGGGGUAAAGACAACUGUUGCUACAUCUCGCAACGGUGCCCUGCACUGGCGAGCCGAUGCAGCGGGAAAAAAUAGCAGGCACCCGGACUCCGGAGCACGUGGUUGUUCCGAUGCCCAGUUCCUUCGUGCCAUAAAGAUUUAGUAUUUUACUGCUUGGCUGCUGUAACACCCCGCAUGUAACUUGCCAUAUUUGUAACUCCGACUCUUGCCAUUUUUGGCUAUGUGUUAUGUUAUUCCCUCCGUGGUCGGGUUUUGUCUUUUGUUUUGCAUUCUGUCUUGUCAUGCAUUUUCAUAUCAUGUCAUCAUGUGCAUUGCAUUUGCAUACGCGUUCGUCUCAUGCAUCCGAGCAUUUUCCCCGUUGUCCGUUUUGCAAUCCGGCGCUCCUAUCUCCUCCGGUGCACCCCUCUUGUUUUCUGUCAUGUGCGGGUGUCAAACUUUCUCGGAAUGGACCGAGGCUUGUCAAGUGGCCUUAUUAUACCACCCGGAGACCAUCGGUCAAGUUUCGUUCCAUUUGGAGGUCGUUUGGUACUCCAACGGUUAACCGGGCAUCCGCAAAGUCCAUUUGUGUGUGCAGCAAACCCCCCCUCAAAACCAGCCCAAAACCCACCAAACUCUCUUCCAUGCUCUAGGUCGUUCGAUCACGAUCGUGUGGGCGAAAACUGCACCUCAUUUGGAGCCUCCUAGCUCCCUCUACCUAUUUAUAUGUGAGACCUCCCGUAUACGAAUCGCAGUCAAACCCUAACCCUCAUCCCCGUGCGCCGCCGGACACGUCCGCCCCGGCCGGACACAGCCACGCCGCCGCCCCGUCCACUCACGUUCUGCCACGUGGCAAGCCCGUCGUCGCCGCCGCCGAAGCCCGCAGGCCCGACGCCGGCCCCCGCGGCCCGGCGCCUGCCCACGCCGUCGCCUGCUCCCGCCGCCGCCGAGCGCCGUCGCCGGUCGCCGCUCCGCCGCCCCAUCCGCCGGUCGCCGGAGUGCGCCACGCUGCCCGACGCCGCCCGCCGUCCUCGCCCCGCCGCGNNNNNNNNNNNNNNNNNNNNNNNNNNNNNNNNNNNNNNNNNNNNNNNNNNNNNNNNNNNNNNNNNNNNNNNNNNNNNNNNNNNNNNNNNNNNNNNNNNNNNNNNNNNNNNNNNNNNNNNNNNNNNNNNNNNNNNNNNNNNNNNNNNNNNNNNNNNNNNNNNNNNNNNNNNNNNNNNNNNNNNNNNNNNNNNNNNNNNNNNNNNNNNNNNNNNNNNNNNNNNNNNNNNNNNNNNNNNNNNNNNNNNNNNNNNNNNNNGCGUCCUCCUCCUCCCGCCGGCCCACCGUCUCCUUCCUCCGGCGUCGCUCCGGCCGAGCUCGAGCUCCCAGUGCUCCCCGAUCCAGAUCUGUUGACCAAGGUUGACCCGAGCCCCCCUCUAAAUUUUCUAAGUCUGGGAUAUUCUACAGCAUAUGCCUCUGUUCAAUAGUGCAUAACUCCUUGCAUGUACCUCCGAUUCACGCGUGUAAUAUGUCAAAUUGUUCGUCUCGCGAUGCUCUACAUUUUGUUCAAUUGCACCAUGUUUAUUAGAGGUCAUCUUGAUGCCCAAAUCUCUGUUGGAAUAUGGGCUAGUUGCUAUUAUCUUCUGGUUCUUAGCAGAACUUGGAGAUUUGUCAUUUUUGUAUCAUUAAAUCUGUGCAUCUUAUGAGCAUGAGCUCUACAUGUGUUUUGUUUUAUGCCAUGCCAUCUUUCCAAGGGUGUAUGCCAUGUAUUUUUGUGAUCUCUGUGAUGACUAGCACAAGCAUGCAAAGUAGGCUCCGUAAUGUAGUCUUUGUCUGCUGUUAUUUUGUUGCCAUGUAAACUUGAUGCUACAGAGAGAUCCAUGCAAAUUUUGGAGAUGUUCAGUAAGGAUGUUUUGUAGCUAUUAUUGUAUUUGAUCCAUUCCUGCCCUUGUUUGAAAUUAUGGAGUGCUAUAGCAUGACUCAAUCUUGCUCUACUUUUGCUAUAUAAUAUUUCUGGCAGAUUCUUAACAUGAUAUGCAAUUUUGCCAAGCUUAUUGCAGUUGAUCCAUACAUGCUAUGCAAUUUUUCUUGCCAUGGAUAGCUUCAUAAACAUGCCAUAUUGCUUUAGGUGUGCUUGGUUUGUAGUUCAUGGCUCUGUAGUGAGUGCAUCAAGCUCACAAAAAGGCCUACAUAUUAUUAUUUCUGCCAUGGUCUGUUUUCUGCCAAGUCUGAAACCUGAUAACGAAACUUGCUAUGUUUACAUGCUUGCCAUCAUAUCUUCUGGUACUUUUUGGCUUAUGGUCAGUAAGGGACUUUUGUCAUGUGCAUUUAGUAGAACACUCCCAUGCCUUGUUUUGAUAUGUUAAGUUCCUGUAGCAUGUUGAUUUCGUGCUCUGAACAUUGCUACCUGAUGCUGUUUUCUGCCAUGUCCAGUUUUUACCAAGUCUGUGAACCUGUUAUCUUUUGCACUUUUGCCAUGCUUGUUUGAGGUUGAUAUAUUGUGAUCUAGCCGUAUCUCAGUGUUCAUCUUUUGUCAAGCAUCUCCUGUAGAUUACUGUCAAAUUCUUUGUUGCUAUGUUGGAGUGCUGUAGCAUUGUUGUUUGUUGCAUUUUAAGUGCUAUCAUGCUGUUAAUCGCAGAUUCGUGUCAUUCUUGUUUUGCUUGCCAUUUGCAAACCGUGCAUCCGUUUCCGGUGAUCUUUAUAUCGACUUCGACCGAAAUCAUCUCAUCUUUCCAGUGGCAUACUUGGUUUGCCAAGUUAUUGCCUUUUUCAUCAUUUUCCUUCCGGAGCACGCAUAUGCAUCGCAUAUCAUUUCUUGCAUAUCAUACAUGUUUUGCAUCAUGUUGCUUGUGCAUUUCUCGUUGUUGAUUGUGGUUCCGUUUGUUUGUGUUCUUGUCUUGGGUAGAGCUGGGAGACGAGUUCGUGAACGAGGAACCUGUUGAGUACGCUUACGAGGAUCAAGUUUUCGACAACUCUGAGAACCUUGCAGGCAAGAUGACCACCCCUCGAAAUCACUUCUAUCUUUGUUUUGCUAGUUGUUCGCUCUAUUGCCAUGCUACGCUACCUAUCACUUGCUAUAUCAUGUCUCCCAUUUUGCCAUGUCAGCCUCUAACCAUCCUUUCCUAGCAAACCGUUGAUUGGCUAAGUUACCGCUUUUGCUCAGCCCUUCUUAUAGCGUUGCUAGUUGCAGGUGAAGUUGAAGUUUGUUCCAUGGCGGAACAUGAAUAUGUUGGGAUAUCAUAAUAUCUCUUAUUUAAUUAAUGCAUCUAUAUAUUUGGUAAAGGGUGGAAGGCUCGGCCUUAUGCCUGGUGUUUUGUUCCACUCUUGCCGCCCUAGUUACGGUUAUACCGGGAUUAUGUUCCUUGAGUUUGCGUUCCUUACGCGGUCGGGUGAUUUAUGGGACCCCCUUGACAGUUCGCCUUGAAUAAAACUCCUCCAGCAAGGCCCAACUUUGGUUUUACCAUUUGACGCCUAAGCCUUUUCCCCCGGGUUUUCGCGAGCCCGAGGGUCAUCUUAUUUUAACCCCCGGGCCAGUGUUCCUCUGAGUGCUGGUCCAAACUAGAGCACCGUGCGGGACCGUCCCUUGGCAAAUUGGGUUAUGUUGGUACCUGUACGCUUCGCUUAUCCGGUGUGCCCUGAGAACGAGAUAUGUGCAGCUCCUAUCGGGAUUUGUCGGCACAUUCGGGCGGCUUUGCUGGUCUUGUUUUACCAUUGUCGAAUUGUCUUGUAAAUCGGGAUUCCGAGACUGAUCGGGUCUUUCCGGGAGAAGGUUUAUCCUUCGUUGACCGUGAGAGCUUAUGAUGGGCUAAGUUGGGACACCCCUGCAGGGUAUUAUCUUUCGAAAGCCGUGCCCGCGGUUAUGAGGCAGAUGGGAAUUUGUUAAUGUCCGGUUGUAGAGAACUUGUCACUUGACCCCAAUUAAAAUACAUCAACUGCGUGUGUAGCCGUGAUGGUCUCUUCUCGGCGGAGUCCGGGAAGUGAACACGGUCUGAGUUAUGUAUGACGUAAGUAGGAGUUCAGGAUCACUUCUUGGUCAUUGCUAGAUGACGACCGUUCCGUUGCUUCUCUUCUCGCUCUCUCUUGCGUAUGUUAGCCACCAUAUAUGCUUAUUGCCGCUGCAGCUCCACCUCACUACACCUUCCUUUCCUAUAAGAUUAAAUAGUCUUGAUCUCGCGGGUGUGAGAUUGCUGAGUCCCCGUGACUCACAGAUUCUACCAAAACAGUUGCAGGUGCUGACGAUGCCAGUGCAGAUGAUGGCGUCGAUCUCAAGUGGGAGUUCGACGAGGAACGUGGUCGUUACUAUGUGUCUUUUCCUGAUGAUCAGUAGUGGAGCCCAGUUGGGACGAUCGGGGAUCUAGCAUUUGGGGUUGUCUUAUUUUCAUCUGGAUUUUGACCGUAGUCGGUCUAUAUGCAUGUAUUUUGGAUGAUGUAUGAGAUAUAUUUAUGUAUUGUGUGAAGUGGCGAUUGUAAGCCAACUCUUUAUCCCAUUCUUGUUCAUUACAUGGGAUUGUGUGAAGAUGACCCUUCUUGCGACAAAACCACUAUGCGGUUAUGCCUCUAAGUCGUGCCUCGACACGUGGGAGAUAUAGCCGCAUCGUGGGCGUUACAGCUGCUCAGAUGUGUGGACCAAUGUUGGCUGCACAAAUUGCUGAAGCGGUGCCAAAUAAUUUUCUAAUGGCACCGCUGAUGAGAUGGCAACAAUUUAAGAUACUAGGUACAAACCGCGACACUGUCUUAGGAUGCGUUUGGUUGAAGGUGUGGUAUGAAUGGGUUGGGACCGUGACAGUGUCUGAAUCACAUCUAACAAAUGAUUUGUAACAACGAAAGAGGGUCUAACCUUCUCUGCACAUGCCAGAAACUUCCUCCCACUGUCCACAGAAUCAAACGCAACUAGCUUAAUGCAUGGAGAUUGAUGGUGACAAUGAGCAGAUAGAUCUUCAUCCACCCCGCUCCAUUCGUUGCCACUGAUGGUCCUAGGGAGCUACAAGUGGAAGAAAUGACUCAAAUCGACCACCGGGUAGAAAUCCUUCAUUCCAAGUCAUAGCCCGAGAGAGAGAGAGAAGAUAGGCAUACCCGGGUGGUGAAGGAGUAGUCACCGGAGGAGCAACCGCUGGAGAGGUCUUUGAAGAAGACCAUGGCGACCCCGACGGUAGGAUGCGAGACGGCGAGAGCGAGGAAGCGGCUAUAGCUUAGCAAGGAAGGAAGGAAGGAGGAAACAGGGGAAAUGUGACUUGUGGUCGGGGAGAAAAGGGGGCGGGGAAGGGGGGGCGGGGGUAGAUAUUUUGGCGGUAGGCCAAAAUUUUGGAAAUGUGGAGGGAAACUUUGCGCGCGGUGCCACCGGACCAUUCACUUUGAACGAUUGUGUGCAUCGCAAAUGAUUCUUCUGCUUUACGCGCAUAGGAUGAGUUUGAUAAUUCAAAUUUUGGUCUCAAGGCAUGGGCACAUUCACUUUGAACGCGCGCGGUGCUGCAGGACCAUUCACUUUGAAUGAUUGUGUGCAUCGCAAACGAUUCUUCUGCUUUACGCGCAUGGGAUGAGUUUGAUAAUUCAAAUUUUGGUGGAAAUUUCCCCGGGUAUGUCAUUGCAUAAUUUAACAUCACUUGCUAAUUUGGGCACACAAAAGAGUGUACAACAGACAUACCACACUUACUGAAUCGAGCAAUUUUAGUAAUUAAACAGAGCCAGUUGACCUAAACAUUGCUCUAACAAAAGACCAGCAUUAAAAACAAAGCCUAAGUACGCAUAAUUUUAACAAAUCCGCCACCGCGCCGGCCUAUGCAUCGCCAGUGUGAGAUGAGACGUCGAUGAGUUGUCCUGGCAACAUGCCGCCGUUGGUGGACUCCGCGUCCCCCCUGCUGAAGUCGACCGCGUCCGCGUCCUCGUCCUCGGUGCCGCCCUCAAGGUUGUAGUACUCGUAGUAGUGGCUGCGCCAGAGCUCGCGUUGGUACUCCACCGCCGAUUCCUCGACGGACAGACUCUUCUCUACCUCGACCUCGGCCACGCGUAACUCCUCCUCCCGGCGCUCCUCGAUUUCCACCUCCUCCUGCAUCUCCAGCUCCCGCUCGGCGACCUCAUGAGGAAGCAGGUGCUCCAUGGCCACCGUCGCCUUUUCAGACGUGGGUUGCAUGCUGGAGUCCGAGGUGGCCUGGAAUAUCUUGGCGUGUGCAUCCUCGAUCUUGGCGUGGAUGGCCUCGACCCGGGCCGGGGCGACAUCAGCGGCACAUACGGCAGCUCGAGCGCUCUCGACGUUUGCAGCCGCCGUCCCAGCAGCAGUUGCAGCCGUCUCGGCUGCUGCAGCUGCCCUGUCGGCUGCCGCAAAUGCCCUCUCGGCAGAAGCGGCCACGCUCAAUGCGGAUACAGCGGCACUCUCGGCGUAGGCGGCCGCGUUCUCGGCACAGGCGGCAGCGCUCAGGGGGGACGCGACCCUCGUACGGGCCUUCACAAAGCGUUUCCAUGGCGUCAUCUUUGCAAGAAGGGGGUGCGGGAAUGGGGAUCGGGAUUCGUGGAUUCGGGGGUUGCCGGCACUAGAGCAGACGAGCUGGCAAAGCUUAAGGAGGGAGACUUAAAUAGACCCAGAUAUUUUCAACGCAAACGGUUCCUAGAAAACAACUGUAUGUGAUGUUGUAGAUAUUUUUUAUUAGCUGUGAAAGACGAAUUUGGAGUAAAGUGCCAACGGAUUGUGUUCUAAAUGAACGAGAAAUUUUGUAGUACUAAUACAACUGUCAUGUCAAAUUUUGGAAAAUUUCAGGGGCCAUUUGACCUUUUAAGACACUUAAGUGAUUUUCUAACAAUUUAAUGACCGUAAUUCAAAUUUGAACUACAUCUACAUGCAACGCCUAAACAAAACAGUUUUAAAAAUCAUAUCUGUGUACUUGUGUGUGAGUUAAUUCCAUAUGCAGUAAAUUAGAAGGAAUAUUCAAACAUAUUGGUCUCACGACAUGGACACAUGCAUACGUAUGCAUGGACUGACAUGGCAUUUUAGUUCCAAAAAAUAAAAAAAUUAUCAGAAAAACAUGAAACCUUGCUUGAUUUAAUGUCAUGCCACUAAUAUGAUGUGGUAAAGAAAUUGUCAUGUUUAGCGAACGUUUGGACACACACCCUUCACAAACCGGAGCAACUCGCUAGAAGGUUCAUGGUUCCGAGAGGGAACAAUGCAUGUUUGAUGACGAACGGGAGAUAGCUUCCUCUUACGACCUUCAAAUUUUUUCCUACGUUUAACGUGCACUAAUACAACUGUCAAGUGAAAAUUUGGAAAAUUUCAAGGGUCAUCUGACCUUUUAAAGACAUUUAAGUGAUUUUCUAACCAUUUAAUGACCGUAAUUCAAAUUUGAACUACAUCUACAUGCAACGCCUAACUAUAACGGUUUGAAAAAUCAUAUGUUUGUGUACUUGUGUGCGAGUUAAUUCCAUGUGCAGUAAAUUAGAAGGAAUUUUCAAACAUAUUGGUCUCAAGGCAUGGGCACAUACAUACGUAUGCAUGGAGUGACAUGGCAUUUUAAUUCCAAUAAAUAUAAAAAUGAUCAGAAAAACAUGAAACCUUGCUUGAUUUAAUGUCAUGCCGCCAAGAUGAUGUGGUAAAGAAAUUGGCAUGUUUGACGAACGUUUGGACACACACCCUUCACAAAAAGGAGCAACUCGCUAGAAGGUUCGUGGUUCUGAGAGGGAACAAUGCAUGUUUGAUGAUGAACGGGAGAUAGCUUGCUCUUACGGCCUUCAAAUUUUUUCCAACGUUUAACGUGCACUAAUACAACUGUCAUGUGAAAAUUUGGAAAAUUUCAGGGGUCAUUUGACCUUUUAAGAACAUUUAAGUGAUUUUCCAACCAUUUAAUGACCGUAAUUCAAAUUUGAACUACAUCUACAUGCAACGCCUAACCAUAACGGUUUGAAAAAUCAUAUUUUUGUGUUCUUGUGUGCGAGUUAAUUCCAUGUGCAGUAAAUUAGAAGGAAUUUUCAAACAUAUUGGUCUCAAGGCAUGGGCACAUGCAUGGAGUGCAUGCCAUGGCAUUUUAAUUCCAAAAAAUUAAAAAAUGAUCAGAAAAACAUGAAACCUUCCUUGAUUUAAUGUCAUGCCACCAAGAUGAUGUGGUCAAAAAAUUGGCCUGUUUGACGAAAGUUUGGACACACACCCCUCACAAAUCGGAGCAACUCACUAGAAGGUUCGUGGUUCCGAGAGGGAACAAUGCAUGUUUGAUGACGGACGGGAGAUAGCUUCCUCUUACGGCCUUCAAAUUUUUUCCUACGUUUAACGUGCACUAAUACAACUGUCAUGUGAAAAUUUGGAAAAUUUCAGGGGUCAUUUGACCUUUUAAAGACAUUUAAGUGAUUUUCUAACCAUUUAAUGACCGUAAUUCAAAUUUGAACUACAUCUACAUGCAACGCCUAACCAAAACGGUUUGAAAAAUCAUAUUUUUGUGUACUUGUGUGCGAGGUAAAAAAUCAUCAGACGAUGUAAAUAUCUGGUGUUCGAAAAAGAAAAUGUAAAGAUCUGGCAAGACAACCGGCCCCCACACGAUUGGCACUCUAUCUCACGGCUCGAGGUUUGGUAGGGGAUUGGCAGGGAUCAUUAAUCAGACACGGGUCUAUAUUGGAAACCGUCAGCUAUUAUGUUCACACAUGAAUUUUGCUGCGGGAAUCGUGUGUAAUUCAAACUACAGUACUCGUAAAUUCUGGCGACCGGCAUGUGUACUGUCCCCGUCGAUCUAGAUUCCAGCCGCCAAUAAAUACUACCUUGCUCACGUCGUCCCGCCUGCAUACUCAUCUGCAUCCUCCCCUCGCUCGCCCCCCCCUCUCUCUCUCAAAUCUCUGCCAUGGCGCCACCGGUCUGCCCACGCGCCGACGAGGAGUCGUUGCCCCCCGAGGACGCUCACUCGAUUAGCAGCGAUGAGGACCCCUACGCGCCGCCUGGCGAGGUUGUGCUGGACCCCCCAACUUUGGAUUGGUUUUGGGGCCAGUACAAUCUUUGUCUGUGAAAGUCGCUGCCACCGGCUGAGAAAGCCAGGCAAGUGGCGUUCAAGAAGGAGAUGGCGGAGGAGGAAGCCAGGUACUAGGCGGCCUGUGAAGCCCGUGAUGCCGCCUGGAAAAAGGAGGCGGCGGAGCUUUGGGGCGGGCGCGUCGUCGUGCCGAGGAUGUGUACGAAGACGAGUACUUCGUGAGGAAGGUCAUAGGCGCUGGGCGCCUCGUCGCUGCGUGGAGGUGGGCCGAUAAGCUCCAGCGUGCCACCGACGAGGAGCUCCGGUGGGUGCCCAACAAAAUGGCAAGAUCGGCCGCGCAUGUCCGCCAGCAAGAGGCAGAUCGGUACAUCAAGCGCUGCGAGGCGGAGGAGUCAGAUUACUGCCUCCGCACUGGGAUGACGCCGCGCACCAGGGAGCUGCUAGCGAGGGGCUGCCGGGAUACUGGCCCCAAGAGGGAUUAUUAGUUUAGUAUUGUUUGUUUUCAAUUUUAUGCAUUGUACCUAGUAGUUAAGUAUCAUCACGUAUAUGUGAUGAUAUUAUAUAUAUAUAUAUAUAUAUAUAUAUUCUAUGAUGAUCUAAUGAACAAUUAAUAUAUAUAUUAUGAAUUCCAUUUUCUAUCUGUUUUUGUAUACUAAUUUGAAUCUAGCUGUUAUCAUCCACAUAUACAGAAUGGAAAGCGUAUACACACACAUUGAAACAGAACAUAUAAGAAUGGAAAACAGAGUACACACAUUGAAACAGAGCAAUGAACAGAGCAAUACUAUGAUUGUUGUGAGUACAUAGCUAUCCACGUUGAAAUGACUUUUCAAAAUAAAAUGUGUCCAUGAGACCAUGACCAGCAGCCCUUGCCUAGGGUAGCUCUUGGCUCUGCCUGAACUCGUGUAGGCAUUUGUCCAAGCGGUCGACACGCUCGCGGUACAUCUGGAGCGUGAUCUCGAGCUCCAAGUUGGCUAUUUCAUCAAAGAUCACCAGCUCGAGGAUGCGACGGCCAUGUUCCUCUACUGCGCCCAGGUGGAUACCUGGGACAAGGAGGCGGUCGAGCCUACGGACCAACGCGUUGGCAUCCAGCGGGCCGCGGACAAGGCGAACGGCAGCAACCAUGCGAACGGCGCGGCGGGCGUCCGGUGCGGCCGGCCUCUGGUGCAAGUACGGCGCUGAGGGCCUCUGCCCACUCCUGGUGAGGAAUGGGGGUACUGACGGGACGUGUACCCAGCUGUGAUGCCGUGUCGACAGCAGGCAAGCGUCGAUGGAUCCGCUCUUGCUGUGCGGCACGCCGCGCCUCUCGCUCUGCGGUGCUCCAACGGUCUCGCCGUGCGGCGAGCCACAGCCUAUCAGCGCGGACACACCUAGCUUGCUCUGUGGCGCGCCAUCGAUCAUGUUGUGCGGCGAGCUGCAGCCUGUCGGCGCUGGCAUGCCUAUCUUGAUCCCCGGCGCUCAAGCGCCAUGCGCCAAAGGUCUAAUCAACCCUGGCGAUGACACGCAUCACGGCAUCGUCCAUCGCGUUGCCGGGGAGCGCCUCCGCCUCGACGGGCCGUGGCGCCUGCUCAUUUUCCUCAUCGACGAGGUUGGUGGCAGAGGUGGUACUUUGGUGGGUCGGCAUGCUUGGAAAAGGUGGAUGUGCUACAGGCUGCACUUGUCGCCUCCGUACGUUGCGCGCCCCCUAUGUGCAAUAUAGCAGGGUGGCGGGAAACAGGUGAGGAAAUGGCAGGAAACUGUGGCGUGUUCAUAAAACGCCAUCAAUUGAUGGAAACUUAGCAUAGAAGGAACAUCGAGCUAGCACAAGAAGUAGACGAUGAUCAGAUGAACACGGACCACACUAGGGAACCCGUCGGUGAUGAAUUCAUCAAUCCCAAACGGUUGAAUACUAGCAAGCGUUUGCCCACAACACACACGGCCUAUUCCAUCACAAACAGGUCGGAUGGAUCAACUGUAUGCCACGUAUCGCACAUUGUCAAAAAGUAACGCGGUAGACCUUCUUUAACAUGUGUUAAAAAUAAAUAAAAUAAAAAACAAGGACCUCGAUGUUAAAUUAGCUGAGGGAAUGGGUCAUUUCGGUGACAAUAAAAAACAUCCCCUGGAUAAGCCUCACGGCCGGGAGGUCUUCUUAAUAGAAGGGACAUUUGGCGAUAAGCUUGUGCCUGUUUGGAGAGAUCAUCAUAAAUUAUUAAAGUAUGCCGUUCGCGGUACAUAAAAUACUCAGCCAGGGCUGCUCCCGUAUAAGGAGCGAGGUAUUGUAAUGUAGCAGGUGAAUCCGCCAUUUCAGCUACUACAAUAGUGUAUUCCAUAGCCCCCUCCUCAUGGAAAGUAGUUACUACUUGAGCUACGGAGGAUGCUCUUUGACCGAUAGCUACAUAAACACAUAUUACACCUUGCCCUUUUUGAUUGAGAAUUGUAUCUGUGGCUACUGCUGUUUUGCCAGUCUGUCUGUCCCCAAUAAUUAACUCUCGCUGACCGCGCCCUAUAGGGAUCAUCGAAUCGAUAGCAAUAAGCCCUGUUUGAAGAGGUUCGUAUACGGAACGCCUGGAAAUUAUACUUGGAGCAGGAGAUUCAAUUAAGCGAGAUUCGGAAGCUAUAAUUUCGCCUUUCCCAUCAAUAGGUUUAGCCAGAGCAUUUACAACACGACCCAAGUAAGCCUCACUCACGGGUAUCUGAGCAAUUCUUCCUGUUGCUUUUACAAAACUUCCCUCUUGUAUCAUCAACCCAUCGCCCAUUAAUACAAUCCCAACAUUUUUGGAUUCCAAAUUCAGAGCAAUACCCCUAGUACCUUCUGCAAAUUCGACUAAUUCUCCUGACAUUAUUUCACCAAGACCUAUAAUACGAGCAAUCCCAUCCCCCACUUGAACUACGCGACCUAUAUUCUCAAUCCCUACUUUCCUAUUAUAUUGUUCAAUACGUUCGCGGAGAAUUUUAUGAAUUUCGUCGACUCGAAGGGUUGCCAUUAGUGUUUCUUGACUCUUUUUUCGGAAGCAAGGGGAAAAAUAAUGCCUAAAUUCUAAACGAAAGUAGAAGUUCAAGGCCUAAUUAAUUUAAUUAUCUCUUCCAUUCCAGGGACCCGAGAAUGCCAAUAUUAGCACGAAUCGUACGGAAAUGUAACUCGGUAUUCAAACAACUAUUCAGAGUUCCUAGAGCUCCUUGUACGGCCUGUUGGAAAACCCGCUGUCGGACCUGAUUCAUUGCCCUUUGUUUUUCAAAAUAAAGGGUUUCGUUUUUAGACUUUUCCAAUUGUUCCAAACUAAUAGAAGUAGCAUUAAUCAAAUUUGCUUUUUCUCGUUCUAUCUCAGAGUAUCCAUUCAUUCGAUACUCAUCCGCUUCUAGUUCGACUUUCUGUAAUCGAAUCCGAGCUUUUUCGAGUUGCUCAAUGGUCCCUCUACGCAAUUCUUCUGAAUUUCAAAUAGUACUCAAGAUCCUCUGUUUUCGAUUAUCUAAUAAAUCUUUUAAUGAAAGUAGAUUAUUUUGUAAGUUUACAACUUUUAUGAUCUCUUCCCGAACCAAACAUGAAUCUUUCGAUUCAUUUGGCUCUCACGCUCCUUUUUUUUUCUAUAGCUAUUUCCAUAUCUUUUUUUUAAGUAAUGAGCCUAUCCUCUAUCUUCUUUUUUAUGUUUAUAUUUCAAUAUACCGAAACCUAUAUAAGACUAGAUAAAUAUUAAGAGGACUCUUCCGCCUAGAUAAAAAUAUAUCAUGGUCAGCAAAGUUGUUUCUUUAUUUUUAUUUGCCCUCUAGUUAAUAAUUUCAAUUUCAUUAAGAAAAACUAACUAAUAAAUGGAAAAUGAAAAUUAAUAGAAUUCUUUUUUAUUUUUUUCUUCAAAUCCAAAAAAUUUCUCUUUUUUAUACAUAGGUCGUCGAUUCGGCAUUGGUUAAAAAAGGGCAGGGUGCCCCCUUUUUUUUCUAGUAAAUAGUUCAAACCAUUUUAUCGAUAUGAGUGUUCUAUAUCAGAUAAAUUUUACAUUAGCUAUUUCCCGUUUAAAUUCGGUACUAAUACUAAUAUAGUUGUAGAAAGAGUACCUCUUUUUGCCUGGACUUCAAGCAGUUUAGCUUUAACCGUGUUAAUGGUCUCACAUUCUUGGUUUAUAGAGAAUCAAAGUUGAUUUACCAAUGAGUCGCGAAAUGCUAUGGUUCUUCCAUAUGAUUUCUGAAUUUAUUCAGAAGUAAUUCGUCGAGAUCGUGCACCCUUUUCUUAUUUAUCCGAAAAAUACUAAAAAAUAUUAUAAAGUGCAGCCGGAUAGAUCCAAUCUAUUCUUGAAAUAGACAACUCGCACACACUCCCUUUCCAAAAAAAAUCAAAACACCAACCACUACAGUUAGAUUUAUUAGAUUUGUUGCUAAAAUAUCGGUAUUAAGCCCGAAACUGCCAGCGGAUGGCCAGUGAGCUAAAAAAGGGCAGGGUGCCCCCUUUUUUUUUCUAGUAAAUAGUUCAAACCAUUUUAUCGAUAUGAGUGUUCUAUAUCAGAUAAAUUUUACAUUAGCUAUUUCCCGUUUAAAUUCGGUACUAAUACUAAUAUAGUUGUAGAAAGAGUACCUCUUUUUGCCUGGACUUCAAGCAGUUUAGCUUUAACCGUGUUAAUGGUCUCACAUUCUUGGUUUAUAGAGAAUCAAAGUUGAUUUACCAAUGAGUCGCGAAAUGCUAUGGUUCUUCCAUAUGAUUUCUGAAUUUAUUCAGAAGUAAUUCGUCGAGAUCGUGCACCCUUUUCUUAUUUAUCCGAAAAAUACUAAAAAAUAUUAUAAAGUGCAGCCGGAUAGAUCCAAUCUAUUCUUGAAAUAGACAACUCGCAC
RNAcentral lists this long non-coding RNA (18988 nucleotides) under Triticum aestivum (bread wheat). RNAcentral's name for it is "long non-coding RNA (TAES_LNC008822)". Lineage: Eukaryota; Viridiplantae; Streptophyta; Magnoliopsida; Poales; Poaceae. The record is from RNAcentral.